GCCAGGCCAAAAAGCCAAAACGAGUUUAAGCAAAUUCCGCGCUGUGUGUAUUUUUAAUUAGCUGUGACAAAUACGUCCGAAACCUAUUCGAAACUAAUCGAAUUGCAAUAAAAACCAGCGCUAAAACUGGAAAUCAACUGCUUUUCAUCCAAAAAAGUUCUCAUGGAUUUCGUUCGUUCCGAAGAUUUGUAUCCGCAAACAGGGUAUGCGGGCAGCUGGAAAAUCGCCCGUCGAAAAGUGAGUGACAGCCGAACGAGAGUGCAACCCUUGAGUGCACUGGCAGUUGGUUCAAGUGCCUACAAUCAAGAGAUGUCAGUUGCUGGAUCACUUAAUCAACAAUCGACUAAAUAAAUGCACAGCGAGUGGCCAGUCAGGCGCAGGUAUUGGCAAAUGUGAGUUCUGUCCUUUGGCUUUGGACCUCGCAUGUGCAUUGGCAAGAUUGGUGGAUCUGGAAAUCGAAACGAGCAUCGCCAUAUUGAUUAGGAACUUCCAGGUGGAAUUCAACUACGAUGCCAGUCGCCCAUACAAAACCUUCUUCUUCAUGGAGCCGGCCAUCACAUUCCGCUUCAAGUUCACCAAUAUUGACCCUUAAAUGGCUUU
This is a long non-coding RNA of Drosophila gunungcola (fruit fly), 600 nucleotides long. RefSeq lists it as uncharacterized. The transcript has 3 exons. NCBI's taxonomy places the organism in Eukaryota, Metazoa, Arthropoda, Insecta, Diptera, Drosophilidae. The record is from RefSeq and is a predicted model, not a curated record.